RNAcentral lists this ribosomal RNA (473 nucleotides) under uncultured Bacillota bacterium. RNAcentral's name for it is "bacterial SSU rRNA". It matches the Rfam family "Bacterial small subunit ribosomal RNA", at positions 1026 to 1501 of the family's 1533-position model. The record is from RNAcentral. Lineage: Bacteria; Bacillati; Bacillota.
GCAGGAAGACAGGUGGUGCAUGGUUGUCGUCAGCUCGUGUCGUGAGAUGUUGGGUUAAGUCCCGCAACGAGCGCAACCCUUAUCAUUAGUUGCUACCAUUAAGUUGAGCACUCUAGUGAGACUGCCCGGGUUAACCGGGAGGAAGGUGGGGAUGACGUCAAAUCAUCAUGCCCCUUAUGUCUAGGGCUACACACGUGCUACAAUGGUAGGUACAACAAGACGCAAGACCGCGAGGUGGAGCAAAACUGUAAAACCUAUCCCAGUUCGGAUUGUAGGCUGAAACUCGCCUACAUGAAGCCGGAGUUGCUAGUAAUCGCGAAUCAGCAUGUCGCGGUGAAUACGUUCCCGGGCCUUGUACACACCGCCCGUCACACCAUGAGAGUUGGCAAUACCCAAAGUUCGUGUGGUAACCGUAAGGAGCCAGCGGCCUAAGGUAGGGUCAGCGAUUGGGGUGAAGUCGUAACAAGGUAACC